This 477-nucleotide ribosomal RNA is filed under the name uncultured bacterium. RNAcentral describes it as "bacterial SSU rRNA". It matches the Rfam family "Bacterial small subunit ribosomal RNA", at positions 329 to 798 of the family's 1533-position model. The record is from RNAcentral.
GAGUGGACUCCUACGGGAGGCAGCAGUGGGGAAUAUUGCGCAAUGGGGGCAACCCUGACGCAGCCAUGCCGCGUGAAUGAAGAAGGCCUUCGGGUUGUAAAGUUCUUUCGGUAGCGAGGAAGGCACUUAGUUUAAUAGACUAGGUGAUUGACGUUAACUACAGAAGAAGCACCGGCUAACUCCGUGCCAGCAGCCGCGGUAAUACGGAGGGUGCGAGCGUUAAUCGGAAUAACUGGGCGUAAAGGGCACGCAGGCGGACUUUUAAGUGAGGUGUGAAAGCCCCGGGCUUAACCUGGGAAUUGCAUUUCAGACUGGGAGUCUAGAGUACUUUAGGGAGGGGUAGAAUUCCACGUGUAGCGGUGAAAUGCGUAGAGAUGUGGAGGAAUACCGAAGGCGAAGGCAGCCCCUUGGGAAUGUACUGACGCUCAUGUGCGAAAGCGUGGGGAGCAAACAGGAUUAGAUACCCUUGUAGUCCGA